Long non-coding RNA from Panthera uncia (snow leopard), 1524 nucleotides. RefSeq lists it as uncharacterized. The record is from RefSeq and is a predicted model, not a curated record. The transcript is spliced from 2 exons. Lineage: Eukaryota; Metazoa; Chordata; Mammalia; Carnivora; Felidae.
CCGCCGCCCUCCCUGGCCGGGCCCGCCACCCCAGGGCCGCCCGGGUUACCUCGGCUUCUUCCUACUUCUGUCCGCAGAAGGGCUUUCCAGAGACUUCUCGGCGCUCUGAUUCAUCGGUGUGAAUGUCCGUCAAAGGAAAUUGAACCCUCAAAGGCAGAAGAACCCGUCACUCCCGCAAGGAAGCAGCGGCCUAAGAAUAAAGGGGUGGGGUCUGUGAGGUUGGGAUUGGCUUGCGGCUGUAAAACCUGCCUUAUGGUUCAGCUAAAGGGAUGUCAAUCCAUUCCAAAGGUUUGCCGCGCUCUCCAGCUGGGAACCGUGCGCAUGCGCAGCACGCAAAGCCAGCUGGGAGUGGUAGUCCGCUCAGCGUACUUUAAACGCCUUACCAACUAUAAAAGGCGAGAAAGGAAAGCUCUCUUCCUUCAGACUUCUUCCUGCCCCGGUGGGUCAGUUCCUCGCCUCGCGCUUACGUCACGGGAGGAAUGCAGUGACGCGCGCGGCUCGUCUGUGACGUCAGCGGCGGAGCUGGGCUAGGGAUUCAGUGACGUCACUAGGCGCUCUUCCCCUCCCCCCCUAUUGCCCUACGUUGGUAAGAUGGUCGUGGGAUGUGAAGGCUGGGUUCGAUCCCGGGUCCCAUCCCUCGAGCAAACUUCCCCCGCCACCUCCGCCUAGACCCGGCCUCCACGAGGGCUCCCGCCUCCCCCUCCUAUCGGGCCGGAAAAGGUCACCGCUGCCGGGACAACCGCGGCUAUCUCCGCCCCGCAGGCGGUGCGGACAGCCCUGGGAAAGGUCUCCUGCAAGCGGAGGACUUAAUUAGAGGCUUCUAGCGCGGGCGAUAAGCAAAGGUCGGCGCCCAGCACCCCCAGGGGAGUGCGGGCUGCUCACCAAGGCUCCACACCGCACCCCGACGCUCUUCCCCCUCCGUCGCGCCGCCCCCUCAGCGUCCUCCCUGCCUCAGUUUCUCCAGGAGAGAAGAGACAGAAGCGGGUCGAGACUAGGUUGAGGGCGCAAAAACUCAAUCAUCAAGAUAAAUGACAUUCUAUCCAAUAUUUUUUAAGUAUCAAAAUUAAUGGGGAAAAAAUAAAUCCAUGGUGACCAAACUACCAAAAUUUUAAAUAAAGAUAGGAUCCUGCCAGGAGUGGGAUCAGGACGAAGUGAGUCACGCAAGUGCUGGAUCGGAUCUUGUCUUUUACUUUUUCAAAAACAUAUUUUAAUCAUCAAUUUUUUUUGCAUUAAUUUUGAUUUCUCAAAAUAGUAAUUAUCUUGAUAAAUGAGUUUUUUGCCCUCCCCCCACCCCCCCACCCCCGCCUGCCGCGCCACCCUCUUCAGUUUUGCGCCGUGGUCUCCACCAGAGACAGGAAAAUGAACGAAAAAGCUCAGAGCCCAUGGUUCUACUUGUAGUCCUGCUGUGUGACAGUGUGACAAAGCGGCUCUGUCUCUGAGCUGCUGUUUCCUGGUUCAACCAACUUCACCCCUCUUGUGUGCAAGGCCGGGGCUGUAAAAGUAAAGAAAGCAGACAAAACCUCA